AGUGAACGCUGGCGGUAGGCCUAACACAUGCAAGUCGAACGGCAGCACAGUAAGAGCUUGCUCUUACGGGUGGCGAGUGGCGGACGGGUGAGGAAUACAUCGGAAUCUACUUUUUCGUGGGGGAUAACGUAGGGAAACUUACGCUAAUACCGCAUACGACCUACGGGUGAAAGCAGGGGAUCUUCGGACCUUGCGCGAUUGGAUGAGCCGAUGUCGGAUUAGCUAGUUGGCGGGGUAAAGGCCCACCAAGGCGACGAUCCGUAGCUGGUCUGAGAGGAUGAUUAGCCACACUGGAACUGAGACACGGUCCAGACUCCUACGGGAGGCAGCAGUGGGGAAUAUUGGACAAUGGGCGCAAGCCUGAUCCAGCCAUACCGCGUGGGUGAAGAAGGCCUUCGGGUUGUAAAGCCCUUUUGUUGGGAAAGAAAAGCAGCAGGUUAAUACCCCGCUGUUCUGACGGUACCCAAAGAAUAAGCACCGGCUAACUUCGUG
RNAcentral lists this ribosomal RNA (492 nucleotides) under uncultured bacterium. RNAcentral describes it as "partial 16S ribosomal RNA". It matches the Rfam family "Bacterial small subunit ribosomal RNA", at positions 29 to 507 of the family's 1533-position model. The record is from RNAcentral.